RNAcentral lists this transfer RNA (74 nucleotides) under Minisyncoccota bacterium. RNAcentral's name for it is "Candidatus Paceibacterota bacterium tRNA-Pro". It matches the Rfam family "tRNA". Rfam says of the family: Transfer RNA (tRNA) molecules are approximately 80 nucleotides in length. Their secondary structure includes four short double-helical elements and three loops (D, anti-codon, and T loops). The record is from RNAcentral. Lineage: Bacteria; Bacillati; Minisyncoccota.
CGGAGUAUAGUAUAGUGGUAGUAUACACCCAUGGGGUGGGUGCGGCUCCGGUUCGAUUCCGGGUACUCCGACCA